CAGGAGUUAUCACAUACGACCAUAGAUAGCAGAAAGCUCGGGAUCCCGUCCGCUCUCCCUUAGAUAAGCUGCUAAUCGCAAUGUUAUCUUCCGGGAUGGCUUUUGCCCCACUCUUUUGCUGAGUCAGCACCCGAACGUUUUGGCUUCCGCAAGAGGCUCAACACCACCUUUUUCAGCAAUCGCAACGGACGGCACCGUCUUGUUGGCUUCACCCCU
Molecule: ribosomal RNA, 216 nt
Filed under: Podospora anserina S mat+
Lineage: Eukaryota; Fungi; Ascomycota; Sordariomycetes; Sordariales; Podosporaceae
Source: RNAcentral